Long non-coding RNA from Lotus japonicus, 2074 nucleotides. RefSeq lists it as uncharacterized. The transcript has 11 exons. NCBI's taxonomy places the organism in Eukaryota, Viridiplantae, Streptophyta, Magnoliopsida, Fabales, Fabaceae. The record is from RefSeq and is a predicted model, not a curated record.
CUCAUUAAUGCUUUUUCUCUUUCUCAUCCCCCAACCUCAUCAAAUUUUUCCCAGACUGUUUGUAUCCCUUUUUUUUUCAAUUUGGUCUAUCCUCAUUGUCCAAUAAACAAUGUUCAUUCCCACUAGCACCCCACCCCAAUCCGUCUUCCAUUUACUCCUCUCCAGUUUCCAAACGUCCCCUCCUCGAUAUAUUCUGCCACCACCGCCCCUUUGCCCUAUUGUCUGUGUGCAUUCCCACUAUUCUCUCUAACUGCCAUUUUCCCUCUCAUCUCCAUAUCAGAACCCUUCUCCCCCAUACUCUACUGCUAGAUUACAUGCAACCUCUCUUCAAGCCCAAGAAUUAAUUUCUCUUCUAUCGGUGGCUCUCCUCCUCAUCCCUCCGUUCACUUCUCUGUUGCACAGUAUCCCUUCCCUCAGAUUAUCUCCAUUAUCUCCAAGCCCCAUUCACGAGUGAGAGAGGGAGACAAAAAAUGAGAGAACGGAUCGAAGGUGAUUCAGAGUUUCUGGGUUCGUUGGCUUCUUCUCUCGCUAGCAACGAAUAUGAGAUCUCCGUUGGGUUCAAGCUGUGAAGGUUUUGUUUUGUGCUUCCCUCUGUCGCUGCCAACAUCUCUAUUAGUUAGACCCAAUGGCUCUCUCAUCUGUUAAAGCUUUAAUUUUAGUCUUCACAUAAAGCUCUGCUCGCGAUUGGAAGGGAAAGGGACACAUUUUUGGGCAAUUAACACCAUGAUUAUUCUCCUCUGGAAUUGUAUCAAUUAUUUCCUUUCUAGAGGAAAGGAGAACAAUAUGGCAGAUCUUCCAUUGUGACAAUUGGUCCAUCAUAACUUUUCCAAUCACAUGGGCAAAAUCUGCGGUGUAUCAGCAGGCCGGAGCAUUUUCAGACUCAGCAACUUCUUCCAGAAGUUGCUUUUGCUCCGUUGAAACACAAGACUGAUUUUCUUUAUGAACUACAAAUUUGACAAAUCAAUCCAUUUGUAGGAUUACUGGACAUGUGGCCGAUUGGAGUUUUUACAGAACCAGAAAUAACAGAUAAAUUUAUAAGGGUGAUGCUUUAUGGGCAUAUGGAUAGGACUACAGGAUCAAUGGUGUGGCUGUGACUGCCUAGGGGUUAAAAUUCAAAUUAAUUUAGUAUUUGCUUGCUGUUCUGACCACUGACAACUUCAUCAUGGAAAAUGUUGCUUUGUGUAGUGAUACUUUUUUUCAUGAAGAAUGAUGUGCAAUUCAAGACCUGGAAACAUAUGGUAUACUGGGGAAAAUGCUCACUGCUUUGAACCCUGUUCUGUUUACGGAAAUGAAACAGGAUAUUAUCGAUGGGUGUUUGAUUUCUAAAGGGGCUUGGAGGGAUUCAUUUUGUGUUUGGCAGCACUCUUGGAGCUUUUUUCCUGUUGUGGUAUUCGCGAGAUUCACCCUGUCCACCAUGGCAGACGCCACCGUGCUCUCCUUAGCUGGAUACUGCUACGACACUGUUUUGGACUGGCUGUUGUGUUUUCACGACAUAGUAAACCAAUGUGAUUGAAAGAUGGAAAAAGGAACGGAAGCUCAAUGUUAUCAGAAUGAAAAUAAGAGCUUAGAGGAAUGCAUAUGAUGGUUGAAAGAAGAAUAUGUAGUUCCACAUGAGAAAUAGAGGGAGUUGGGUUUUGUGUUCAGGUUCACAGCUACCACCCCAAGAGCAUGUUUUGCUGUGAGUUGACUUGGGACACAGCUUUUUCCUCUUCCCCGACGAGCUGCCACAGCUGCAGAGAAGAGAAGUUGGACCUUCUCUGAAUUUUUAGUGUUCUUGAAUGUUUUAAGAGUUCAUAUUUUGUAUGUGAAAGAGAAGAGAAAGUCAAAGCAACAUAACAACCAAUGUUUAAUGACAUCUGAAAGAGCAAGAGAAAUAGCUAGAUCGUGAAUAUAUUAAGAGCAAUUGUUGUGGGUGUUUUGAUUUUUUAAGCUAUGGGUGUAUGCAUAUGCUGACACCUUUGAAUUCAGAGGAGAUGAUUAAAGGUAACUUUGUAAUUAUGAACCAUGGUGAAACUUUAAUGACGUAUGAGAAUAUUUGGCAUUAUUCUAAUAAUAUAUACUAAUUUCUCAGGAA